UGGGGCGUCGUCAAGCGGUAAGACACAGGACUUUGAUUCCUGCAUUCGGAGGUUCGAUCCCUCCCGCCCCAGCCA
This 75-nucleotide transfer RNA is filed under the name Smithella sp. Its description in RNAcentral is "tRNA-Gln". It matches the Rfam family "tRNA". Rfam says of the family: Transfer RNA (tRNA) molecules are approximately 80 nucleotides in length. The record is from RNAcentral. Lineage: Bacteria; Pseudomonadati; Thermodesulfobacteriota; Syntrophia; Syntrophales; Smithellaceae. RNAcentral also lists the same sequence under 1 other name.